This 468-nucleotide ribosomal RNA is filed under the name uncultured bacterium. Its description in RNAcentral is "partial 16S ribosomal RNA". It matches the Rfam family "Bacterial small subunit ribosomal RNA", at positions 28 to 507 of the family's 1533-position model. The record is from RNAcentral.
GACGAACGCUGGCGGCGGGCUUAACACAUGCAAGUCGAACGGAAAGGCCCUGCUUUUGUGGGGUGCUCGAGUGGCGAACGGGGGAGUAACACGUGAGUAACCUGCCCUUGACUUUGGGGUAACUUCAGGAAACUGGGGCUAAUACCGGAUAGGAGCUCCUGCUGCAUGGUGGGGGUUGGAAAGUUUCGGCGGUUGGGGAUGGACUCGCGGCUUAUCAGCUUGUUGGUGGGGUAGUGGCUUACCAAGGCUUUGACGGGUAGCCGGCCUGGGAGGGUGACCGGCCACAUGGGGACUGAGGUACGGCCCAGACUCCUACGGGAGGCAGCAGGGGGGAAUAUUGCACAAUGGGCGGAAGCCUGAUGCAGCAACGCCGCGUGCGGGAUGACCGCCUUCGGGUUGUGAACCGCUUUCGCCUGUGACGAAGCGUGAGUGACGGUAAUGGGUAAAGAAGCACCGGCUAACUACGUG